This is a non-coding RNA of Peromyscus maniculatus bairdii (prairie deer mouse), 1496 nucleotides long. NCBI's taxonomy places the organism in Eukaryota, Metazoa, Chordata, Mammalia, Rodentia, Cricetidae. The record is from RefSeq and is a predicted model, not a curated record.
AACCUAGUUUAACCACAGCUCCAUAGGCCAUGUGGCUCCAUUUCACAGAAGAGUGGAAUGGGAUUCCGAGGGGCUCUACUCACGGUGUCCCAUGGGGAGGACCUAACCUGCGGCACAGUGCCCGACGCCCUGCGGCACAGUGCCCGACGCCAAGCUGUUCCACAAGAGCAGCAGGGCAGAACACCAGUUGAGUGUCCCUUCCUGUGUGACGGUGCCUCGGGUCCUGGGCACUUGUGACAAGACACAGUGGCCUCGAGUCCGACUUCGUGGAAGUGCACUCCCGCCAUCGCUCCGAUGCCUGUCACCUGUCACACUGUCUCCAGGUUCACCCAGCACAGGCUGGGAGGUACAGCACGUGCGGUAACAGACCUGCAGCCUGAGUCUCGGGGCCCAGCUGGGACAGCCUGUCCCUCUGUUUGGAAAGGUUAGGGAAGAUUUCCCAGAGGGCGAGACAUUUGAGCGGAGACUUGAAGGUGAAGAAUGAGGAGGAUUUCAGCAGGCAGGGCUGGUGUGGAGCACAAAUCAGGCAGAGGAAAUUUCCAGCCCAAGAUAAAGAAAAUGUGCAAGGCGGGGAAGAGGGCGGGGGGCAGAGGAAAAAAGACCAUGACGUAGAACGAGAAAGUCAUAGAGACCCAGAAACAGGGGAAAAGUCCAGAGAGGCAGGUGCGGAGCAGAGCCAGACGGAAGGGUGGGAAAGAGCGAGACAGGACGAGGAUGUUUGGGGACACCCUGGGAAAAGCAGAGUGGAAGGCCAGUGCUUCGGGAUGAGCGGGAAGAGUGGGAAGAGGGCGGAGAUCCGGAAAUGGUAGCGUGCAGCAGGCAGGCCCAUAGGCCGCGAGGCCCCAUGACCCCAUCCAUCCUGCCGUAACUGCCACAGCUCGCUUAGGGAUGUACACUCCAGGAAGCCCCUCAACUUCCCGGGGCUCACUUUCCCCAUCCAGCAUAGGGUUAGGUCAGAUUACCUGUUGGUCUCUCCGAAUUCCAUUUAAGCCCGGAACUUCCCAAGUGUGACUGGGAGAGUGGGCAGCCCGUCCUCAGGAUGAAAGCUGGCACUCCACUCCAAACCCAUCUAGUGUCUGCUAAUGGAGUGGUAAUGGGAACCAGGAAAUGCCAGGGUCCCGGGACCCCUCGGGGUUCAGGGCUGGAGGCUAAGGUGGGAGCGGGCAGGAGGGGCAUGUCCGGGUAGGACGGGGCAGUGAGGGGAGGCAGAUCCCCUGGGUGGCCUCUUCUCCAUAACCCAAUAGGAUGUCCACAUGGUCGACGUUGUUACAAGCGUGAAGAACCGGAAGCCUCCUGAGCGCCUGUGCUCGGAGGAGUAAAUCAGAUGGUGUUUUCACUCCUGGGAUUCCCUUUCCUGGUUCUCUUCCACCUCUCCAAUAGGACUCCCUAGCUGACGGCCUCAGGACCACCCAGUAUGCUGAACAGAAUCCCUCAGAGGUGAUCAGUCGACGUUUACCAUGAUUUGACAUGUACCGGCAUGACAAUGGUGUCUUCUG